CAAUAGCGUAUAUUAAAGUUGUUGCGGCUAAAAAGCUCGUAGUUGGAUUUCUGUCGAGGACGAAUGGUCCAUACUAUGUAUGUGUAUCUAUUCAUGCCUUGGCAUCCUCUUGAAGACGUCGCCGCGCUUAAUUGUGUGGUACGGUAUUCAAGACUUUUACUUUGAGGAAAUUAGAGUGUUCACGGCAGGCAAUCGCUUUGAAUACAUUAGCAUGGAAUAAUACUAUAGGACUGUGGUUCUAUUUUGUUGGUUUCUAGAGCUGCAGUAAUGAUUAAUAGGGAUAAUUGGGGCAUUCGUAUUAUUACGUCAGAGGUGAAAUUCUUGGAUUGUAAUACGACGAACUACUGCGAAAGCAUUUGCCAAGGAUGUUUUCAUUGAUCAAGAACGAAAGUAAGGGGAUCGAAGACGAUCAGAUACC
RNAcentral lists this ribosomal RNA (418 nucleotides) under uncultured eukaryote. RNAcentral's name for it is "bacterial SSU rRNA". It matches the Rfam family "Eukaryotic small subunit ribosomal RNA", at positions 592 to 1016 of the family's 1831-position model. The record is from RNAcentral.